CCCAGACUCCUACGGGAGGCAGCAGUGGGGAAUAUUGCACAAUGGGCGAAAGCCUGAUGCAGCAACGCCGCGUGAAGGAAGACGGUUUUCGGAUUGUAAACUUCUUUUCUUAGUGAAGAAUAAUGACGGUAACUAAGGAGCAAGCCACGGCUAACUACGUGCCAGCAGCCGCGGUAAUACGAAGGUGGCAAGCGUUAUCCGGAAUUAUUGGGUGUAAAGGGUGCGUAGACGGGACAGCAAGUUAGUUGUGAAAGCCCUCGGCUUAACUGAGGAACUGCAACUAAAACUAUUGUUCUUGAGUGCAGGGGAGGAAAGCGGAAUUCCUAGGGUAGCGGUGAAAUGCGUAGAUAUUAGGAGGAAAACCAGUGGGGAAGGGGGCUUUCUGGACUGUAACUGACGUUGAGGCACGAAAGUGUGGGGAGCA
This 424-nucleotide ribosomal RNA is filed under the name uncultured bacterium. RNAcentral's name for it is "bacterial SSU rRNA". It matches the Rfam family "Bacterial small subunit ribosomal RNA", at positions 330 to 770 of the family's 1533-position model. The record is from RNAcentral.